UACGGGGGGGGCAAGCGUUGUUCGGAAUUACUGGGCGUAAAGGGCUCGUAGGUGGCCAACUAAGUCAGACGUGAAAUCCCUCGGCUUAACUGGGGAACUGCGUGUGAUACUGGAUGGCUUGGAUUUGGGAGAGGGAUGCGGAAUUCCAGGUGUAGCGGUGAAAUGCGUAGAUAUCUGGAGGAACACCGGUGGCGAAGGCGGCAUCCUGGACCAAUAUUGACGCUGAGGAGCGAAAGCCAGGGGAGCAAACGGG
Molecule: ribosomal RNA, 253 nt
Filed under: uncultured bacterium
Lineage: Bacteria
Description: partial 16S ribosomal RNA
Rfam family: Bacterial small subunit ribosomal RNA
Source: RNAcentral